This 253-nucleotide ribosomal RNA is filed under the name uncultured bacterium. RNAcentral describes it as "partial 16S ribosomal RNA". It matches the Rfam family "Bacterial small subunit ribosomal RNA", at positions 524 to 776 of the family's 1533-position model. The record is from RNAcentral.
UACAGACGGUCCAAACGUUAUUCGGAAUCACUGGGCUUAAAGAGUUCGUAGGCGGUCCAGAAAGUGGGGUGUGAAAGCCCUCGGCUCAACCGAGGAAUUGCGCUCCAAACUACUGGACUUGAGGAGGCUAGAGGUAAGCGGAACUGAUGGUGGAGCGGUGAAAUGCGUUGAUAUCAUCAGGAACACCGGAGGCGAAGGCGGCUUACUGGGGCCUAUCUGACGCUGAGGAACGAAAGCCAGGGGAGCGAACGGG